CAACAAUACCUACAUGGGCAACGUCGUCAGAGGUCUCACCGUCUUCUGACCCAUUGACGGCGUCAAGUUAGUGGCAGCUGGGAAAGCUAUUGAGGUUGGAGUAGACGGCGUAAUUGUUUCGAAUCAUGGUGGUCGCCAACUUGACUGUGCACCUGCUGCAAUUUCUGCCCUUGAGGAGGUUGCGGAGGGACACACACAGUGAGAGCAGGAGAAAGUUCCAUUCCUCAGUCAAUAUCAGAUACCAAUGGCUACUCUGAACAAC
Molecule: long non-coding RNA, 262 nt
Organism: Nymphaea colorata (pocket water lily)
Lineage: Eukaryota; Viridiplantae; Streptophyta; Magnoliopsida; Nymphaeales; Nymphaeaceae
Exons: 3
Source: RefSeq, a predicted model, not a curated record